RNAcentral lists this ribosomal RNA (253 nucleotides) under uncultured bacterium. RNAcentral's name for it is "partial 16S ribosomal RNA". It matches the Rfam family "Bacterial small subunit ribosomal RNA", at positions 524 to 776 of the family's 1533-position model. The record is from RNAcentral.
UACGAAGGGGGCUAGCGUUGCUCGGAAUGACUGGGCGUAAAGGGCGCGUAGGCGGCGGCCACAGUCAGAUGUGAAAUUCCUGGGCUUAACCUUGGGGCUGCAUUUGAUACGUGGUUGCUUGAGUGGGGAAGAGGGUCGUGGAAUUCCCAGUGUAGAGGUGGAAUUCGUAGAUAUUGGGAAGAACACCGGUGGCGAAGGCGGCGACCUGGUCCUUGACUGACGCUGAGGCGCGAAAGCGUGGGGAGCAAACAGG